ACAAUGGAUCCGCUCCAUACACGGGGGGCAAAGAUCGAGCUGGUCCGCAGGUGGCGGGGUGGUCUUGAGAGGAGAGGAGAGGAGGAGGAGGAGGGGAGGUCCUUCGCGUUCCCCUUCCAUGCAUGCAUGCUCGGGCCAUCUGUAGUAAGUGGGCCUCGACGAUUUGA
RNAcentral lists this ribosomal RNA (167 nucleotides) under Cantharellus minor. RNAcentral describes it as "5.8S ribosomal RNA". Lineage: Eukaryota; Fungi; Basidiomycota; Agaricomycetes; Cantharellales; Hydnaceae. The record is from RNAcentral.